UUCCAUUCUUCAGUCACUGAUAAUUGGCUUUUUAAAAGCUGUCCUCAUAGUGUCACACGAUCACCAGAUAAACUCUGCAGUGAAGGUUCUUUAGAUUCAAAUCUAUGUUAAAUUAUUUCAAUUUUUUGAUUAAA
Molecule: long non-coding RNA, 134 nt
Organism: Sapajus apella (tufted capuchin)
Lineage: Eukaryota; Metazoa; Chordata; Mammalia; Primates; Cebidae
Exons: 2
Source: RefSeq, a predicted model, not a curated record